Molecule: long non-coding RNA, 14645 nt
Organism: Gallus gallus (chicken)
Lineage: Eukaryota; Metazoa; Chordata; Aves; Galliformes; Phasianidae
Exons: 17
Source: RefSeq, a predicted model, not a curated record
GUCACUCUCUGCCGGGAAGGGAGGGAGCGCGGUGUGUCUGCCGGGGGCACCGUGCUGAGCGGCGAGAGAUCCUCCGAGCAACCCCAGUGAGAGCCCCAGGCUGCGGGGAGAGCUGAAACGGAAGCCUCUAAAAAGCAUCCAGAGAGGUCUGCGGAUCCAGUGGAAAUGGGAGCUUCUGUGCAUUUCCUCAAUGCUCUGCCUAAAUCCUCCGCUCUCCAGUGGUGAGGAGCCUCUCAGUUGGCCAAGGCGCCACUCCAAGGAGGGAAGAAGCGCUCUGCCCCUCUGCCAGCCCACUCAGCUUUGGCUGCUGUGUUGAGAGUUCUGGUCAGGUGGGACUGUUUUGGGAAAGGGGUGAACCCUCAGCUAGAAAUCUUUCCCUGGCAUCCCCCUGCUCUGCCCUAUCUUAGUGUGGAAUGAGAGGAGAAUCACAAGGAAAGCUUUGCAGACCAUCGUGGGGUGUCUGACUGGUGGAGCCUGUCUGUACUGUUGUUGUUUCUUGUACAACACUCUGGUGCUGGAAACUGCUCCUCCUGUUCUGCAUGGUCUGUCGGUGUCUGCUUCUCUCAGACAGUGAAUGACAGGUGGGGUGGGGUUUCUCUUUCUUCUCUGAUUAUUGAUUUUUGCUUUGCAUUUUAAGUUCUUCCUUGGUUGUGACACAAAGUAGUAUGGAUGAACUACUAAACCUGGGUGACCCCCAGACCUGCACGUGUGUUCUGUGCAAACAAGGGGCAGCCUGGGCUCCCCACACACAGACCAAGCCUGCUAUCGCUCUGACCAGUGGCCUAUUCUGCAGCCCACUUCCCUGGGUAAAAAAUGGCCUUGAUGCUACUUCCUGACACUGCAAGGGUCCUGAGCAUUAAUCAUGGAAGGUGGCAAGGUGCUUCAGUGCAGUAAAAUAAGAGCAAAGAACCAGCUAAAAUAGGGUGAAAGUUUUCCUCCAAUCUUGUAGAAAUUGAUCUGAAAUUGCCAUCUCCAGUGGUGUUGGUGCUCUUCUGCAAGUUUGAGUUCAGAACUGUAAACUUUAACAAGUUUGAGCCAUGAACCCAUUGCUCUAACACAGCAUCUUUGCUGCAGAUAGGAAGUCCACUCUUCCAGGCACCAACGGGGCUUGCUGUGUGCAUGCCUCCCUGCUCGUGUAAUUGAGCAAAGCAAAUGUAUUGUGCAGGGUUGGCUGUUGAUUAUUGCUCCUGGUGUGAGUUAAGGCUGCUUACAGUGUCAGCUCGGAAAUACUGUUCACACAAACAGUGCUAAAUCCUGGGCCCUUGGGUACCUUUCGGGGGUAGGAAUUGAAUCAAGUGAAAGAGCAGCACAUCACCCUUCUCGGGGUGGGCAUCAAUUUCAGAGGCUGAGCUAAACUUUAUUUUGGGAAGUGCCAGGCUGUGUUGCUGGCUACUGCUGGAAGGUGCACUUCUACCUGUGGCCCCAAAAAAUUAAAGGAAAACCAAUCGUGGUGUUCCUCAGCAAGCUGGGGAAGAGCGCUGAUGUUCAAUUGUUCGUGUGCUGCUUGGUAAAGAAGAACAGCUUUAUAAUUUCUGGUUUACCAUUAAUAGCAAUCUGACUCAACAGAUCACAGCACUGGUUCUGUUCAGCUCAGAGGUCUUCUCAGUGCUAAAAUAGACACCUUUGGCAGCACACAGAGAGCAUCCCUGGAAGCAAACGGGCUGCCUGGGGCAGGGAUGGGGCUGCCCCAUCUGCUCUCACAUCAAGUUUGCUUUUUUUUUUAACAUGUUUGCCCAAAACGGAGGUAAAAGAUUGAUGGUCCUCUAUGCCAGGUUUCUGUGUCUGGUUAUUCCUUCUUCUGUGGUAGAGUAGAAUGCUGGUGAAGGACAUGACGUCAGCACUCUGUAUUUAGGCUCCAUUUAAUUAUACUGGGAAAAGCAAAGCUCAGCCAGCAACAUCUGCUGGAAGGGAAACCACUUGUGCCCAUCUUGGUUUACCUGUGAGCAUGGCUGAGCUUUGUAGAUCCCAACUUUUCACCUCUUCAUUCUCUCUGGUGACCCUUUGGCUCUCUGUCACUCAUUGUGUGAUGCAGUUAUCGUUAAACAAGGCAAUCUUCCUGCCCAAAGCUGAGCAGCUCUGGCAGAGCAGCAGCAAUGGAGCAGUGCUCCGCAGCGGGCAGAGGCUCCUCCACACAGCACCAACUGUGGUCGGAAAAACUCAUUGAAUACACUGGGAAAGAAAAUCUAUCAGCCCGUGACAGGGAUUAUUUUAAUAACCUAAAAUCUUAUUGCUUCUGGAACAUCUGCUCUUUGGUGGAGCAAACAAAUAGGUUUUAAUUUCAUUGCCUUAGCUUCGCGGAAAUAAAUUUGAGAAGCGCAAUAACCGAUAUUAUUUGGGAUAACAGCAUUACCUUUUUCACAUUGGUCACAAAAGGAAAACUGCAGGAAAUACAGAGCCAAUAGAAACACCUUCAAUCUCACACCCUUGAAAUAUCUGCAUCUUAAUACACCACAGCUGGAGAAAGAAAACUUCACCUGACCUUUAAGUUUGCAGAGGAAAGCGGUUAGCAAGUCAUUCCUUUGGAGGUGAUGUGGUAAGGUGGUGUUACUCAGUAACAUUCCUUGUCUAUAUGGAGAAUAAUGUAUUCCCGUUGCAUUUAAUUAGUUUUGAACCUAUGUGUGUGAGAAAUGCAGUGCUGUUAUUAAAAUUCAUGCUUUAUAAUAAUUAGCACAGUUUGUACAGUCUCUGAGAACUGCCAGCAAAAGGACUAUUAACUUUGGUUAAUGCUGGAACUGUCUCAGCCGUGCUAUCGUUUAACCCAUUGCUGCAUUUUUAAGGGGAGAAAAGUUGUGAUUGUUCUCAAAGGCUCCAUCAGGCCAGCCAUUAAUUACCAAAACUCAUUAAUUAUAACAGAUCGGCUGCUAUAAAAUCCCUUUAACUGAACUUUUGCAAUGAUCAGUACGGAAAUGGUGACAAAUACAGGCAGAACUGUCCCUUUUAAAUUGCUGGCGUUUUAUCUCUCAUCGAAUCCCUAUCUGAAAUUGAGAAAAAUGACCAGUAAGGUUCAGAAACUCAUUCUUCAGAAGAUCAAAGUCAGAAAAUUCUGCUAAUUCCCUUUGAGACAGAAAUAGGAAUUAUAGUUAAGAGACUUCUCCCCGUGACUUUUUCUUUCAUGUUAAGACUCUCUAAUUGUUCCCCAGGUGUAUCUCCCAUUGUAUUCCACUGUAAACUAAUUUGCUGAGCUAUCAGGAACCCGAGAAAAAUCUCUCAGUUAAAAACUGCUUCUCGCAAGAGCAGCUGAAAAGCACACAUUCCGAAGAACCGCAGCAAUGCCCUAUUCCUCAUUGCUCCCAGCAAACAUGCCUGCAGCCUUUGGUCUUGUUUUUUGGUCAACCUCGGUCUUGUCUUGUGGUUCAGGGCUCACGGCUCAGUGUUUACAGGCAGAAUUUCAGCUGAGUGUUCUGAGUUUAUGAAAGCACUUUUACCUUGAUUUUUUUAUUUUUAUUUUUUGUCUCUUCUAGUGCCAGGUUAUUCCUAGAGCAGCUCUCAUUGCUUUGCUUUGUCUCACAUUGCCAUACGGCUGCAAUGCCACCAAUCUACGGGGCAUCCACUCUCCGGCCUGCAGGUGUGCAUCCUUUCUGACAAAGUUCCCCUAGAAGCAGCUUUACCUUUGGUUUCAUAAGAAAAAUCUUGUAUGGUGCAAACAUUGCAUCCAUAUUCUUAAUGGCUAUUUAGAGAGUGAAGUGUUUGGAUGUGCUUGAAAAUAGCCCUGGGCACCUAUUUGCCAUGUGUAGGUGCAUAAAGAUCUGAGAAAAACGACCAUCUGGUGUCUCUGGGCUCAGAUCCUCAGGAAAUACACAGAAUACUGAAAGGAAAAGAAUUUAGACACAUGCAUUUCUUUUGGUGAUUGGUUCAACUCUUUGUGUCUCUCAGAGGUGUGCAGAGGAAGAAUACACAAAGGAAGGGGAAGGGCUGUAUGCUGUCUGCACGUGUUCUGCAGGUGAUAUUAGGGAAGGUCAGCAGGAAAAAAGGAUGGCCUGUGGAAAGGUAUUCUGCCCUCCAAUUUUAAAAUACCUUUGAGCUCUUACUUUGUAAAAGAAGGAACUGAUGACCUGGUGGCUAAAGAGUAUUGCCAAUUCAAAGGCAAUCGGUUCUUGGAAUAAUUUUGAGGCAUGUUGAGCCAUUUUCCAUAUUUUUCUUUCAUCUUUUUGUAGGAAAAUUUCAGAUUUGAUCUUUUAUUUCCUAUAUUGGCUACAAGAGAGGAUUUGUUUUGCUGUGCCAUGGUACAAAUCAUUUUCAUGUUAGAAAACCAAAACGCAUUAGCUGUGCUUUUACUUGGUGCAGAAGACAGAGGCAUUGGUACUGUAACACAGCGUGUUUUCUGCUCAGUGCAUGGUAUCAUGGCUGGAAAUCCUGAAAUUUGGAGCUACAGAGCACUUCACCCCACAUCUGGGAGGGUAUUCACACUGAGAUCCGAGCAACUCCCAAUGGGCAACUGCUGGCAUUUCGGCUUUUAUUUUGGUCACUGGGUUGAGUGGACCCUGAGAAACACUGGCAAAAAAAUAAACCCUACUCCUAAGCCUAGAUAAAGUUGCAGAUGCUUCAGGCUGAUGCCUGGGACAAGGAAUUAGUAAAAUUAUUAUUCAUUUCAAUGGUGGCUCUUUCAGUGUGGGGCAACACAUCGAUUCUGAGCCUGCUCCGUGAUCAUUUUCCUUUUCGUUAGCGGUAUUUCCUGCCAAAAUUAAUCAGACACUCCUUGAUGCUGGGCCAAUUCCCUGAGUUGCACGUUGUCAAUCAGGUGGCGAUCCAAAUGUUCGCCCACUUCUCCACCGUUUUCUUUCUCUCUGACUCCAUCAGAAGCACAUGACACAUCCGUGGAUCAUGGGAGAGAGAAGCAGGUUUGCUCUCCUUUAUCUCUCUGCUGGGGGAAAGAAAAAGACUCUCAGCUGUAUAAUCAUCUUCCUAUAAAAUAAAUUACUUUAUCUGUCUUAAUACUGUCACUCUUCAGUCCUCCAGUGAUCUACUUCUUCCAUCUGUGUGCAUAACUGAAAUCUUCUCUCCACCUACUCUAUGUACUUCCAAGUGUCAAAAUCCAGCCUCAAUCAUUGCUGUCAUCAGUCUCUCGUUCUUGAUGGGAUAGUGGAUGAAACAUCACUGUUCCUCAGACCUCUAUGGGUAAUUUCUGUGCUUGCUUUGCAGAGCUGAGGUAAGCUAUCAGAAAUGUGACCUAAAAGAGUUUUGUUUGGUUUGGUUUUUUGUCAGCUGAAGUUUUCCACUUUCUGCUCCUGAAGCAAGUGGGUAUUUUUGUUGCUUCCUGGGUCUUGUUUCCAUCAUGACUCUUGCUGCAUAAUUUAAGGAGAUAACCACAUUACCCAAAUCCUAUGAAAGUUGACAUACUGCUUCGUAUUGAGUAAUUCUGCAUGACUCACACUUUGUUCUCUGAUAUAAUUCUUACGCUCGUUUGCAGAAUAUUGUUGAGACAAUUGAGCUUGCUUACUGAAAUCACCAUCUUUUGUAGCGAGACAGUACAACCGCUUUCCUCUUUCACAAAGCCAUUCCAAGAACAAUGGGCCGACCCAGAAAUAACAACCAUUUGUUUUGCUUAGAAUAUGGAUUCUGCUUUGCUAAAUGAAAUAACGGCAGGGAAAAGAAAGAAACCUUCUUAGAAGCCGUGCAUCUUCCCAGAUAAAUGUGGCAACGCGCCCCUCCUGCUGAGCCGUGACCUACUUUGCUCACAAAAUGCUCUCACUACCUUCCCCCAAACGCGAGGCUGUUGAAGCCCCAGGAAUUCUUCACCUUGGGUGCGAAACCGUGAAGCGUCAGUCACCACCGAAGGAUCCUCAACGGUUUCCCUGUCUGGCGGCACUGCGCUGCUUAUCGCAUCCUCUGCGAAUGCCUCCCUUCUCAUCGCGUUGCUGUUGGGAUAAGUUUUUAUCUCUGCUCCAGUGUACACCGCGCGAGUUCAGAGCUGGGUGGAUUUUGCCAUCUUGUGAGAGGUUUUGGUACUUUUUUCUGGACUGGGUUUAUUUUUGGGUUAGCUUUAGAUAAAAAAAAUAUAUAUAUUUUAAUUCCUUCAUAUUUUUUAUGACUGAAAAGGAAUCCUUUUCCUCUAGCUAAUAUAUUAUGUGCAUCAGAACUUGGUAGUGUGCCUGUUCACAGAGAAACAGGAGUUGAGAUCGAGCAUCAACAGCUGUGGGAAUGACCUACACCAUAUGGGACAUAUGACAAUUACCCAGUCUGUGUUACAUAAGGAAUAAAAUCAAGUUGCUUUGCUAAAGCAUGGAAGGAGAGAGAACUAGAACAUGAUGACAAAUGACUGCUCCUGAUGAUAAAGGUCCUUAGAUGUACUACCAUGCUUUUUUUUUUGGCUUUACAACAAAUGCAUGCGAUCUACUUGUUAAAUUCAAGUUCGUUGCAUGGCAGAGGCAGCAUCCCUUGGCUUGGUACUUUUCUUAGUUAAGCAGCACAGCACUUAAAUAUAGAAGCUGAGUUUGUCCAUCAGGUUUUGCAUUUGUGACUCACAACCAAAGGUACUGAUGGCAGCACAUAGACAUUAUUGCCUGCUGCAGCAAUGCUCAGGCUCGUUAUUUGGGGCAGAUGAUUAGAUUUUAGUGCCACAAAGCAUCAUUAUAGUCAGAAGGUAAAUAAAUGUUUUGUCAGAUGGAAAUAUGUUUCAGAGCUUGUUCCUGUUUGUUUAGCAAAAGAAACUCUGGGAGAUGAUGCUAUACAACCUAUGCAUGCCUUUAUGGGAGAUGUGCUGCACCCUGGAGGGCUGCCUGCAAGAGCUGAUGGCCCCAACCUGUUGCUAACCCAAGGCAAACCUUUAAAAGCUGGAGAAUUAGCAACCAGCCAGAAGGAAAAUGAUUGAUUCCUAAGGUCUUGCUUUCUUUUAGCUACAACUGGGUACCUUUCAGGAUGACACACCUGCAUCAAACAACUCUUAAUGUCAUGCAAAAGGCUGGAUGUGAUCACCUGUGAUACUCAGGAGGCUGGAUCACAGCUCCUUCCCUCUGCCAGGGGAAGUCUUUGAACCAUCUCAUCUCAUCUUAUGUCUGGCAUUUGCUGAUAUUGUGUAAUGGGGAGCUUUAGUGCCUUCCAUGACAGCAGGGCCAGGAGGUGAUUCCUUGUGCUGCUCUGGGGCCCACAGGGCUCAGCAAGGAUCCUGGCACUGGGCUGCAGCACCGACCCCAGAACUGCCACUGGAGUUCCCCAGCCACUACUGAGUGACAAUGGAGUCAUUGGUUUCACAGAGGCUGCUGCAGUGCACAACUGUACAUUCUGAUAUCCCAGACAAUCUGGGCUGCUCCUAUCUCAGAGCUGAACUCAUAUCUCUGUGCAAUGCCAUCUUACAGAAGCAUUUUGCAGAAUAAUGGUUCUCGCUGUCUCCUUCACAAACAAAUGUACCAUAAAAGCAUUUGUACUACCGAGUUCAUUGACAACGUUGUUCAAAGAGGUAUUUUGUGACAUAUUUGUUCUCCUAAUCUAUAUUUCUAUUCAGGGCAUUUUGAAAGUGUUUUCUAGCUUAGGAGUCCUAAUGAACCAGCCCCGUGUCUGCUCAUGUUUCCUCAAUAAUAAACUCCUCAAACUCCCUAGCAAUGUUUGCCAGCUGGAACUGCACAGCUGCUGUGGAGCAGUGGAAGGCAGAGAUGGAGCAGCUCCUCACGACAUGCCCAAGUCACAGGAAGAGGAAAGUGAUGUGGUUUGUAUUGUAUUCCCACUGCAGCACUGAGAGGUGCAGAAGGCCCAUUUCCGUGACCAUGUGCUAUUUUCUUUGACUGGCAGCUGUGCAUAGCGGCAGGGAGGAUGUUGGACCCCAGCAGUACCCAGCUCCAUCCCAGUGCUGCCUUCCUCCUGCACAGCUCAACGCUCGCAUUUUGGUCUCCGCUACUCCAACUCCAUAGAGGUGAUGGGUUGAGCAGUUUCCUAACGUGCAAAUGUCAGAACCUGUGAGUGGUUACACUUCUGCAGGCAUUUGCCUUGAGAACUCAGUUCCUCAAUCCAUUUGCCUGGAGAUAAUCUGCUUUUUUGGCUGUUUUUUUUUUCUUUUUGAGCUUUGACACUGGAGUAUACAAACACUCCUUGUUCUGUUUCAGUGGUUGUUGUGAAUAGAAGAACUUCAGAUCAACCUUGCUUACUGUCCUCAGCUCUUACACCCCAGAAAUACCUAAAGGUGGUUGCUGCCUCCAGGCCCACAGAACCUUUCCCAGGCUGUUAAAUCUCUAUUACUUUCCUUCCCCAUAAGCAAGAGAUCUGCAGUGAAGGCUGCCAGCAAUGUAGCUAGACAAGGACAUCAUCAUCUUGCUAAUCUGCUCAUUGAGCUGAUUCUUCCAGUGUGGAACCCAAAAAUUCAGCAUGUGAGAAACCUCAGAAAAGAGGAGGACUCUGCAAAAGCCCUGUGGCUGUCCAGAGCUUCUCGGAGGAGAAUUCAAACUCUGGGCUCUGCCAUUCAUAUGCAAAAACAGGAAGAGGAGAACUCACCGAGUGAUGCCCAAUCCAGCUACGAUCCUCACCGAGCUGAUAAUCCUACCAGAAGCACAGAUUUCACCCUGAUGGCUCCCAGCUCCAAAAUGUCACCAGAGAUAGAAGCACUGAAGAUCUGUGUGGAUGUCUCCUGAUAAUGGCAGGAACUUGCAUUAACAACCGCUCAGCUGCAGUCCUGGAAGUUAGAAGGACAUAAAGGUGCAGUGGGAAUUGCGGAGGAGUCAUUUCUGAAUGAAGACAUUUCCGUCCAACAUUUUGGCUUGCCUGAAGCACACUGAGUGAAGAGGAAUUGUCCUUGGCCACCUAUAAAAUACAUAAUUGGUUAAUGUAUUGUCAGAGAGCCAAGGCUGGAUGUGUUCCUCCUGACACUGCCCUGCAGGGGACAGCGGGAAGUGCCAGAGCAGUGCUGUCACCUGUCCUGUGUCUGCGGUGACAGCGGUAAAUCUCCCAUGGAGAACUCCUCCUGGGGCAGGACCAGGGCAGCCAUUCAGCACUGCUGUCUUUCUGUCGCUCCUUGCCUUUGCAGAGGCGAAUGAGGACUUGAUUCCAAACCAGCCUGCUGGCAUAUUGCGAGCCCUUCGUUCCUUGAGCCUGUCCCAGCAGGCACCACACAGCCUGGGCUGUCUGCUGGCUGCUCUUUGGCUCAUGGGAGACCUCACAGCAUGAAAGAAAGGCAGGAGUAUCUUUCUUAUGCAUGCUGCUCAUGGUGUUGUCCACAACUGACCACAAAUCUAUGGAGAAAGGCAAUAGUUAUGCUAGCACAGAUGAAAGUUCUUUUCUUGGGACAUGCAGAAACUCUUGCUUGUAGCAUUGCAGCAGCCUAGCUACACCGUUACUUCUCUCAUUCCUGUGUACUUGUAAUCUAUGUAAUGAUUUUAUUGUUUCCAUAUUAAUGUGGUUUAUUUUUACUGUAGCACUCUAUCUACUUGUGCUACUGUUAAACAAAUCCUUCUGAUGCUGGACCAGAGAAGAAACCCCUGAGACAUAAUACAAAGGUCUUCCAGGAGGGGACUCUAUGCUGAGGCUGCAAGACUUCCAUCCUGCCUCCUCUGGGUUGAUCACACCGGCACCGGAGAAAUGCAAAUACCAACAAGAAACAAGUGAAAAAGUUAGUAGAAAAAGAAAUAAUUAAAAAAGCAUAAAUUAUUCAAGUUUAUAUAGGAGAAGAAUCAGCAGGAGAAUGCAGUAAAAAUGGAGUGUCAGAGGAGAGAGCAGCAGAAAAGCAUGAGUGUGAUUCUCUGUGUAUAAAGAGGUUGCAAGGGACCCCUAUGGGACUCUUUUUGGGAACACAAAGUCUGCACAAACUAAUGUAGGAAUGAGACUAAUCUGAUGCCACAGAGAAAACAAGUGGAACUGAAAGUCCUUCAGGCUCCUGUGGUCUGGCAGAUUCCAGUUUUAAACCACAACGUUCUUAAAAUCCCAAGUCUCUAAGACCAAGAGGUGGUAUUAAUCACAAGCUUGCCAAGGGCAUAGAUCCAGGAAUCACGACUGCCUUCGUCAGCCCCUGUACCAGAGGGGAUUCAAGAAAAAUGAGUUUACUGGAGGCACUGUGGAGUUAGCACAAAUCAUCCCAGGGAGGAAUCUGUCCAUAAACGGUUCCUCUGUGCAAACAAAUAGGAUGGAAGAGAAAGAGCUAGGCAAAAACUGCAGCUUCGUUGAUCUUUCUGUGCCAAUUAAUGCCAACUGAGAAUGCCUCCCUGGACACCACUGAGAGCACUGUCGGUAAACUCACCUUACUUGAGAUCACAGAGACCUUUGCAGACUCGUGGUAUGUACCCUACUAAUCUUCUUGUUUCUCUUGUUAAAAACCUACAGCAGGGAAAAAACUGAUGUGUCUAACUGACACUUGGCAUUUAUGCUGAGGGAAUAUCCAUCUGUUUCAGCCAUCCGAAUCUAUUCUCUGUCUUGUUAUUAUUUUUCAGUUCUGUGCUUUGUGGAAUAUAAUGGGUGAUGUCCUCACUUAUUUUUCCCAACUAGCAAUUGCCUUGCAGAUCAAGCAGCUAGCAGCCCUAUGACUUUCUGACAUGGCAGGGUUAUGAAAAUCCUGCCAAAGUGUCAUGCAGUCUCUGCUGUGAAAUCUGACAGUUGAAGAGGUUCCAUCCCAAUCCUAGUGGUGAUGGGUUUUGAUCCCCUGUUAAAUGCACUUCUACUUCAGCUCUGACAGGUACCGGCGAAAUAAAUGAAAUCUGCAAUCCUCUGUGCAUAUGGGAGGGCAUUAGAUGAUUCAUUGGCUUGGAGCGUGCCGACAGGCAUCCUUUGCACAUCUUGUGUUGCUUUAAUGGGUAGUUUGCAGCUGUGGGAUCAUUGCUAUAUUUUGUAGUUUUGUUCUAUCAUUAGCUGUUAAAGGAAUAGAAGACCACAGAUAGCUUUGUACUAAACUACAAGUUCUUGUUUUUAUUGGCACCACCUGGGGAUUAAAACUGAUGCUGUCAUGCUGCCCAGUUAGCCUCAAAGCAGGGGAGAUGUAAUGAUUAUGUGAUCAAAGCACCUCGCUUCAUUCAAUUGUGCAAUAAUUACAAAUGGAAACAUUAUAAACAAGCAACAUUGGCUGUGACGCACACAGGAAGGCAAACCCAGUCCCCAGAGCCUUUAGUGAGUGCUUCAGGGAUGGGAAACCUUCUUCUGAGGAGAAAACCUGGGUAAAAGCUGCUGCAAAUGAUCCUGCAGUACCUUAUGGGCCAUGAAAAUACCCUGUUGUUACCAAGGGGGUAAUAUUGUGAACGCCACGUAUCCACAAUGACCAGGCCCUUAGUUAUAAUAAAAUCAUUUCAUUGACCUUUUGUGACCAUUUCAGCUCAUUCUGCUGUGGCUACAGGGUGUAUUCCUGCCUCCCCAGAGGCUGACUGGGACAUCUUCAUCCAAAGGAAAACGUAUUUACACGGAAGAUGGAAGUCAAGUGAUGUUUUCCAGCCACUUCAGGUACUGAGCUGCUGGUGCGUGGUUUCAGAAGUUGCCUUUGAGGGUUUUGGACCCUGUCCUCCUUCUCCUCCUGCCACUGCCAGGUGGUGAGGCACUGGCACGGACUAACCAGAGAAGUGGUACUUGCCCCAUCCCUGGACUCACUCAUGGUCAGCCUGGAUAUGCUGGACACCUGAUGGAGACGUGGGUGCCCCUGUUCAUUGCAGGAGUCCAAGCUCUCAUUGCCCAGUGCUGUGGGGGCUGCUAUGAGGGCACAGCCUGCAAACUGCAGAACUCCUGCUGAGAAAAACAUCACCUGGAACUGUUUGUCCACUGCAUGGCAAUUUUCGUAAGCAAACUUCGUGCUGAAGUACAGCGAAGAGCUGCAGACAUGAACAUCUUAAUGCAAGAGGCUGGUGAAACAUUAUGGAAAAUGCAGCUUUGGUGCCAUGCCUGGAUAACAGCAAGGGUGUUAAUAGGCACACAGUGCACGGCAGUCAGAUACUGCCAGAAAGCCCGAAGAUUGCUUCUCACAAGUGCCCUCAGUGACUGCCCCUCGAACAAAAUUGGCAGCCCCAUUUUGGCUGAGGGCUGGCCUACUUCUCACCCCCAAAAGCUUCAGGUUUGAUGAUGCUGUGAGGUGUGCCACGGAGAUGGUGAUGCUCAUGGACUUGGGGAGAAAAGCAACCAGAAUGGGAGUCGCUGAGAUGUGAGCUCACGUGGCUGCGAGGUUGGGAAGAUGAACGGGGUGGCUUUCUGAAGGACUGUACUUCUGGCCUGGAAGGCUGCAGGUAUGAGUGAUAAAAUCAGAAAGUAUUGUUUCUAAAUGGAGGCGCACAGCAAGCUUUGUUGGAGGAUGAAUGCAAUCCUGUUUCUUUUGUCUGGGAAUCACCAUGCAGGUUUAAUCCCUUGUCUGUUUUUAUAUUAGAAAAAAUAUAUCUUUUCACAAAAUCAGUUUUUAAACUCAGUGGAAGUAAAGUAAUGCUUCUCAUCCAGUAAAAUGGAACUGAGUGGGAGAGCACAGCAGCUGUCAGGCACAGGUAGGGGUUUCCUUUGGGGAUUUGUUUCUCUGUUUUCAGAUGCAAUAUGCUAUGAAGUCCAUGUGCCGUCCUCUUUGAUGUACUAAAGAGUGACAUUCAUCCUCUGGAAGUGUUUUUACUUUGCUUCCUCAGUACGUGUGGACCAAUUGCCCAGAGUGAGGACCAAUGGCUGCAGCAGGGAAAUUCAUCUCAGCACCAGAUCUCGUCCUUCCUGCUGGUCUCCUUUUGAAGUUCUAGAAAAUGAGAUGCUCUUUCAUAGCAAAUUCCUGCCUGCAGAGCAGGGCUGUGCUGCUUUGCUCACCCCACCAGUCACAGGGCAGCUGAUGGGACACUGCUGUGCCCCACAUCACUCUACGAAGCUCCUCACACUGCGCUGCUAUUUGUGCUGACCAGAGCAUGCACAGACGUGACACUCAGCACCAGGAGAACACUUCUUUCUGCAUCACAGGACCUUAGGACAAAUCCUAUGAUGCACUGCAUCUAAGCAUGCAAAAUGUAAGUGUAUCAUUGCAUUUCCACUUACCUUUCUUAUCUGACUCAGUAAGUAGUAUGAUGAGAAAUGGAAAUUAUGGUUAAUAUCAUUUCUUUAGCACUAAGGAAUUCUACUUGCAUUCCUAGGAGAUGUUAGAACACUGAACGAAAAGGGUAAAGCAACUCCUGGAUCAAGAGCCAGCUGUAGAGUUGUAAUGAGACAAAUCUUUAAGAUAGGGCUGUUUUUACCAAAGUUGAAAUGAGUUUUGCACAGUGGGCAGUAGGGAAAUACAGCAGUAUUGCCAUGAAAGAUAUUCCAUCUUCUUAUGGAGAAACCAGAAUAGGUUAAAUCAGCACCCUUUUCCAACCUAAGCAGAGGAAAGCAUUCCCACAAACAUUACAUGUAGUGACCAUCUCAUGCCAGCCUUUGGUGCUCUGUGAUGGAUGUUGUCAUCUAAGUGGUUCAUCCUAACACGACACUGCAAGAACCAUCAUGCAAAAGCAGCAGAUUUCCCACAUUAGUUUUAGAAAUGCGUUAAUACUGAUAAUAAUAACUUCAAUGAAGCACCACUGAUAAGGAGUCACAUUGACAGGUUGUUGUCAGAACUUCCCAUUCCCUGAGUUCAUUCCCUUGAGAUACACUUUAGUUUAAGUUUUGCCUUUUGACUCUGCCAAACUUCAGGAGUCUUAUGGCAAAAUGGCUUCUUUGGAGGGCUUCAUGGUUAACGCUGCAGAAAAGCAACCAACUGUUUGGGAUAUCCAAAAGAUCAGGCAAGUAUUUCACCAAGUGUACAACAAAAUAUGAUGAGGUAAUUUUAUUCUUUUUUCCUGGUUUUAGGUAAAAAUAUGACAGUAUACAAGAUAAUCUUAUUAAAGCAGGGAGUUGUUUUUGUCCAAAGCAUUUAGCAAACCCAGCCUGCUUCUACCAAUGCUACCAAACAAAGUUGGGACUCCUCCAUGGGCCACUUGCAGUUUGGAACCUUUUGUGAGGGACUCAGAAGUUCUACUCCAUCACCUAUUCCUCAUCUGGAGAAGACAAGCAGAGAUUACCUGGGAGAAGGAAGAGGGAACCUAUCUUGACUGCCUUAUAUGUGAUUUCCAGGGCAGAAGAAAAGCAUUACUUUCUGCACAAAAGGAAUCUGUGAAAAGUUCUGACUUGUGGCACAAGUGUAACCAAUGCACCAUGCAAGCAAAGUCAUCCCAUGGUUUGAUUCUCUUCCUAUCCUGCUGUGGGACCGCAGACAAUUCAGGCACUCAAAGAUUUGUAAAAAAUAAAAAAUAAAAACUUAAAUUCCUAAACAAUUUGAAAUUAAGGAGUAAUAGAAGAUGAUACAGGAGACAUUUUAAUUUGAUUAUUACAGUUACUUGGAAGUAGAAUGGAAUCUGAGGAAAAUAAAAUGCUGAAAGGCAGGAAAAAGGAGAAUAAGGUAAUGACAAAGCAACAGAAAGGAUGCAGGUGGACUAGCAGAUCAAAAGGAGAGCUUAAUUCAGAGGAGUCAAAGCUGUACCAGGCAGAAGGAAAGCAGCCCCAGACAGAAAUGAAGGAAAGGGGAGGAUGAGGAGGGAUGUUGGUAUGUCUUGUAAGAACUUUGCUUCGUUUUCAAGUUGAAAGCAAAUAAUGCCUUUACUCGCACCCCAGGAGGUACGGGCCCUCUAAGAAAACAAAGCCAUUAACUAUUUUUAGGAUCUUUUAAUUAUUAUUAUUAGGGUGGCAAACUAAUCCUGCAAAAUUUGUUUGUAAAAACAGAUUAUAGACACAAACUAAAACAUGUCCUUGAGAAACAAUAAAGUUUGCAGCCACUCCAGUACCUAUUA